RNAcentral lists this unclassified non-coding RNA (253 nucleotides) under uncultured Bradymonadales bacterium. Its description in RNAcentral is "contains 16S-23S intergenic spacer region". It matches the Rfam family "Bacterial small subunit ribosomal RNA", at positions 524 to 776 of the family's 1533-position model. Lineage: Bacteria; Deltaproteobacteria; Bradymonadales. The record is from RNAcentral.
UACGGAGGGUGCAAGCGUUGUUCGGAAUCAUUGGGCGUAAAGGGCGCGCAGGCGGCCUGGAAAGUCCGGCGUGAAAUCCCAGGGCUCAACCCUGGAACUGCGUUGGAAACUAUUAGGCUUGAGUAUGGGAGAGGUCCGUGGAAUUCCAGGUGUAGGGGUGAAAUCCGUAGAGAUCUGGAGGAACACCGGCGGCGAAAGCGACGGACUGGACCAAUACUGACGCUGAGGCGCGAAAGCGUGGGGAGCAAACAGG